Molecule: ribosomal RNA, 139 nt
Filed under: uncultured bacterium
Lineage: Bacteria
Description: partial 16S ribosomal RNA
Rfam family: Bacterial small subunit ribosomal RNA
Source: RNAcentral
UGGGGAAUAUUGGACAAUGGGCGAAAGCCUGAUCCAGCAAUGCCGCGUGUGUGAAGAAGGUCUUCGGACUGUAAAGCACUUUCGACGGGGACGAUGAUGACGGUACCCGUAGAAGAAGCCCCGGNUAACUUCGUACCAG